Molecule: ribosomal RNA, 253 nt
Filed under: uncultured bacterium
Lineage: Bacteria
Description: partial 16S ribosomal RNA
Rfam family: Bacterial small subunit ribosomal RNA
Source: RNAcentral
UACGUAGGGGGCAAGCGUUGUCCGGAUUUACUGGGCGUAAAGGGCUCGUAGGCGGUUUGUCGCGUCGGGAGUGAAAACCCAGGGCUUAACCCUGGGCUGGCUUCCGAUACGGGCAGACUAGAGGUAUGCAGGGGAGAACGGAAUUCCUGGUGUAGCGGUGAAAUGCGCAGAUAUCAGGAGGAACACCGGUGGCGAAGGCGGUUCUCUGGGCAUUACCUGACGCUGAGGAGCGAAAGUGUGGGGAGCGAACAGG